This 253-nucleotide ribosomal RNA is filed under the name uncultured bacterium. RNAcentral's name for it is "partial 16S ribosomal RNA". It matches the Rfam family "Bacterial small subunit ribosomal RNA", at positions 524 to 776 of the family's 1533-position model. The record is from RNAcentral.
UACGGAGGGUGCGAGCGUUGUCCGGAAUCACUGGGCGUAAAGGGCGCGUAGGCGGCCUGGCAAGUCGAUGGUGAAAGCCCGUGGCUCAACUACGGGUCGGCCAUUGAUACUGCUAGGCUCGGGUCGACUAGAGGCAGAUGGAAUUCCGGGUGUAGCGGUGGAAUGCGUAGAGAUCCGGAAGAACACCGGUGGCGAAGGCGGUCUGCUGGGGUCGAACUGACGCUGAGGCGCGACAGCGUGGGGAGCAAACAGG